Molecule: ribosomal RNA, 1488 nt
Filed under: uncultured endolithic bacterium
Lineage: Bacteria
Description: bacterial SSU rRNA
Rfam family: Bacterial small subunit ribosomal RNA
Source: RNAcentral
AGAGUUUGAUCAUGGCUCAGGAUCAACGCUGGCGGCGUGCCUAACGCAUGUAAGUCGAACGCAGUGUCUUCGGACAUUGAGUGGCGAACGGCUGAGGAACACGUACGAACCUGCCUGUUUGUGGGGAAUAACGCGCCGAAAGGCGUGCUAAUACCGCGUACGCUCAUCCUUUGGAUGAGGAAAGCCUUCGGGCGCAGACAGCGGGGCGUGCGGCCCAUCAGGUCGUUGGUGGGGUAAUGGCCUACCAAGCCUUUGACGGGUAGCUGGUCUGUGAGGACGAUCAGCCAGACUGGGACUGCGACACGGCCCAGACACCUACGGGUGGCAGCAGCGAGGAAUCUUCCACAAUGGGCGCAAGCCCGAUGGAGCAACGCCGCGUGGAGGAUGACGGCCUUCGGGUUGUAAACUCCUUUCGGGAGGGAUGAAACGGACAGUACCUCCAAAAGAAGCCCCGGCUAACUCUGUGCCAGCAGCCGCGGUAAUACAGGGGGGGGCAAGCGUUGUCCGGAAUUACUGGGCGUACAGCGCGCGCAGGCGGUCCACUACGUGCCGUGUGACAGCCGUCGGCUUAACCGACGGAGGCCAGGGUACACGGGUGAACUUGAGGCAGAGAGAGGGAUGUGGAAUACCCGGUGGAGCGGUGAAAUGCGUAGAGAUCGGGUGGAACACCAGGGGCGAAGGCGGCAUCCUGGCUCUGUACUGACGCUGAGGCGCGAGAGCGUGGGGAGCAAACCGGAUUAGAUACCCGGGUAGUCCACGCCGUAAACGAUGUGUACCCGGCGCUGGGACGUGAUUGCGCGUCUCGGUGCCCCAGCUUACGCGAUGAGUACACCGCCUGGGGACUACGGCCGCAAGGCUAAAACUCAAAGGAAUUGACGGGGGCCCGCACAAGCAGCGGAGCGUGUGGUUUAAUUCGACGCAACACGAAGAACCUUACCUAGAUUUGACAUGCACCUGCAAACGACAGAAAUGUCGUUGCCUUCGAGGGUGGUGCACCGGUGCUGCAUGGCUGUCGUCAGCUCGUGUCGUGAGAUGUUGGGUUAAGUCCCGCAAUGAGCGCAACCCUUGCCUGGUGUUACUUGUGUCACCAGGGACUGCCGUGGUCUAACCACGGAGGAAGGCGGGGAUGACGUCAAGUCCGCAUGGCCCGUACGUCUAGGGCUACACACACGCUACAAUGGUCGGAUGUAGUGCGUUGCGACCUGGCAACAGGCAGCGAAUCGCCAAGACCGGCCUCAGUGCAGAUUGGGGGCUGCAACUCGCCCCCAUGAAGGCGGAGUUGCUAGUAACCGCGUGUCAGCAAAGCGCGGUGAAUACGUACCCGGGCCUUGUACACACCGCCCGUCACGUCAUGGGAGUCGGGAACACCUGAAGUCCGUGGGCCGACCGCAAGUGAUUGUGGAGGCAGCGGCCGAAGGUGGGCCUGGCGACUGGGACGAAGUCGUAACAAGGUAACCGUACCGGAAGGUGCGGCUGGAUCACCUCCUU